AAGACCUUGCACUUUUGGAGCGGCCGAUGUCUGAUUAGCUAGUUGGUGGGGUAAUGGCCUACCAAAGCUUCGAUCAGUAGCUGGUCUGAGAGGACGGCCAGCCACACUGGGACUGAGACACGGCCCAGACUCCUACGGGAGGCAGCAGUGGGGAAUUUUGGACAAUGGGCGCAAGCCUGAUCCAGCCAUGCCGCGUGAGUGAAGAAGGCCUUCGGGUUGUAAAGCUCUUUCAGCCGGGAAGAAAAGGUUGCGACUAAUAAUCGCAAUCCAUGACGGUACCGAAAGAAGAAGCACCGGCUAACUACGUGCCAGCAGCCGCGGUAAUACGUAGGGUGCGAGCGUUAAUCGGAAUUACUGGGCGUAAAGCGUGCGCAGGUGGUUUUGUAAGUCAGAUGUGAAAUCCCCGGGCUUAACCUGGGAACU
This 423-nucleotide ribosomal RNA is filed under the name uncultured bacterium. RNAcentral describes it as "bacterial SSU rRNA". It matches the Rfam family "Bacterial small subunit ribosomal RNA", at positions 207 to 622 of the family's 1533-position model. The record is from RNAcentral.